This 522-nucleotide ribosomal RNA is filed under the name uncultured bacterium. RNAcentral's name for it is "bacterial SSU rRNA". It matches the Rfam family "Bacterial small subunit ribosomal RNA", at positions 988 to 1509 of the family's 1533-position model. The record is from RNAcentral.
CCAGAGAACUUAGCAGAGAUGCUUUGGUGCCUUCGGGAACUCUGAGACAGGUGCUGCAUGGCUGUCGUCAGCUCGUGUUGUGAAAUGUUGGGUUAAGUCCCGCAACGAGCGCAACCCUUAUCCUUUGUUGCCAGCGGCUCGGCCGGGAACUCAAAGGAGACUGCCGGUGAUAAACCGGAGGAAGGUGGGGAUGACGUCAAGUCAUCAUGGCCCUUACGGCCAGGGCUACACACGUGCUACAAUGGCGCAUACAAAGAGAAGCGACCUCGCGAGAGGCAAGCGGACCUCAUAAAGUGCGUCGUAGUCCGGAUUGGAGUCUGCAACUCGACUCCAUGAAGUCGGAAUCGCUAGUAAUCGUAGAUCAGAAUGCUACGGUGAAUACGUUCCCGGGCCUUGUACACACCGCCCGUCACACCAUGGGAGUGGGUUGCAAAAGAAGUAGGUAGCUUAACCUUCGGGAGGGCGCUUACCACUUUGUGAUUCAUGACUGGGGUGAAGUCGUAACAAGGUAAGCGUAGCGAG